RNAcentral lists this ribosomal RNA (440 nucleotides) under uncultured bacterium. Its description in RNAcentral is "partial 16S ribosomal RNA". It matches the Rfam family "Bacterial small subunit ribosomal RNA", at positions 338 to 795 of the family's 1533-position model. The record is from RNAcentral.
CCUACGGGGGGCAGCAGUGGGGAAUAUUGCACAAUGGGGGAAACCCUGAUGCAGCGACGCCGCGUGAGCGAUGAAGUAUCUCGGUAUGUUAAGCUCUAUUAGUAGGGAAGAAAAUGACGGUACCUGACUAAGAAGCCCCGGCUAACUACGUGCCAGCAGCCGCGGUAAUAUGGAGGGGGCAAGCGUUAUCCGGAUUUACUGGGGGUAAAGGGAGCGUAGGCGGUUCUACAAGGCAGAUGUGAAAGGCCGGGGCUCAACCCCGGGACUGCAUUUGAAACUGUAAGGCUAGAGUGUCGGAGAGGUAGGCGGAAUGCGUGGUGUAGCGGUGAAAUGCGUAGAUAUUAGGCGGAACACCGAUGGCGAAGGCGGCCUGCUGGACGAUGACUGACGUUGAGGCACGAAAGCGUGGGGAGCAAACAGGAUUAGAUACCCCAGUAGUC